UAGCUCUUCUGCCUUUGUGUGCUUUCUCUCUCUCCUGCUUCCAAGUCAAGAUGUGCUGGCUUCUCCUUUGCCCUUCUGUCAUUAUUGUGAUCAUUCCACUCUUCUGCUAAUGUCAUGUUCUGGUUCAGGGAGUCCUCCAGGGAUGGCCAUACCUUUCUCUCCAAGAGCUUUGGCGAACUCUACUCCAAUCUGAACAGGUUACUCAAUGUGAAGAUGACAACAAGGGUGAAGACUUUAAUGAUGAUCCACUUCCACUUAAAAAAUAAUA
RNAcentral lists this long non-coding RNA (268 nucleotides) under Homo sapiens (human). RNAcentral describes it as "HSALNT0394035". The record is from RNAcentral. Lineage: Eukaryota; Metazoa; Chordata; Mammalia; Primates; Hominidae.